GGGAAAUUAUUUUAAUUAAAAUAUGAAUCUGUCAGAUUCAAGUUAUCGUAUGAUAUUUCUUU
RNAcentral lists this transfer RNA (62 nucleotides) under Tettigades chilensis. Its description in RNAcentral is "tRNA-Asp". The record is from RNAcentral. Lineage: Eukaryota; Metazoa; Arthropoda; Insecta; Hemiptera; Cicadidae.